UCCAGACUCCUACGGAGGCAGCAGUGGGGGAUAUUGCACAAUGGGGGGAACCCUGAUGCAGCGACGCCGCGUGGGUGAAGGAGCACCUCGGUGCGUAAAGCCCUAUCGGCAGGGAAGAAAAGCGAACAGGUUCGCCUGGACGGUACCUGACUAAGAAGCCCCGGCUAACUACGUGCCAGCAGCCGCGGUAAUACGUAGGGGGCAAGCGUUAUCCGGAAUUACUGGGUGUAAAGGGAGCGUAGACGGCAGUGCAAGUCCGGAGUGAAAGCCCGGGGCUCAACCCUGGGACUGCUCUGGAAACUGUAAGGCUGGAGUGCGGGAGGGGCAGGCGGAAUUCCUGGUGUAGCGGUGAAAUGCGUAGAUAUCAGGAGGAACACCGGCGGCGAAGGCGGCCUGCUGGACCGUAACUGACGUUGAGGCUCGAAAGCGUGGGUAGCGAACGGGAUUAGAUACCCGUGUAU
RNAcentral lists this ribosomal RNA (461 nucleotides) under uncultured bacterium. RNAcentral's name for it is "partial 16S ribosomal RNA". It matches the Rfam family "Bacterial small subunit ribosomal RNA", at positions 330 to 793 of the family's 1533-position model. The record is from RNAcentral.